GGGCCUUUAGCUCAGCUGGUAGAGCACCUGGUUUACACCCAGGGUGUCGUCGGUUCGAUCCCGGCAGGGCCCACCA
This 76-nucleotide transfer RNA is filed under the name Microbacterium paludicola. RNAcentral's name for it is "tRNA-Val". It matches the Rfam family "tRNA". From Rfam's summary of the family: Transfer RNA (tRNA) molecules are approximately 80 nucleotides in length. Their secondary structure includes four short double-helical elements and three loops (D, anti-codon, and T loops). Further hydrogen bonds mediate the characteristic L-shaped molecular structure. tRNAs have two regions of fundamental functional importance: the anti-codon, which is responsible for specific mRNA codon recognition, and the 3' end, to which the tRNAs corresponding amino acid is attached (by aminoacyl-tRNA synthetases). tRNAs cope with the degeneracy of the genetic code in two manners: having more than one tRNA (with a specific anti-codon) for a particular amino acid; and 'wobble' base-pairing, i.e. permitting non-standard base-pairing at the 3rd anti-codon position. The record is from RNAcentral. Lineage: Bacteria; Bacillati; Actinomycetota; Actinomycetes; Micrococcales; Microbacteriaceae.